AUAACAUCAGCUCUUUUUUAUGUUUUAAAAAUAGGAUAAAAUAGAAACAUAGAAACUUAGAAUGUAACGGCAGAUAGGAACAAUUCGGCCCAUCUAGUCUGCCCAAUUUUCUAAAUACUUUCAUUAGUACCUGGCUUUAUCUCAAGUAUAGGAUAUCCUUAUGCCUAUACCACACAUGCUUAAACAUCUACCACUUUAGCUGGAAGGCUAUUCCA
Non-coding RNA from Pelobates cultripes (western spadefoot toad), 215 nucleotides. Lineage: Eukaryota; Metazoa; Chordata; Amphibia; Anura; Pelobatidae. The record is from the annotation of a GenBank genome assembly.